RNAcentral lists this ribosomal RNA (253 nucleotides) under uncultured bacterium. RNAcentral's name for it is "partial 16S ribosomal RNA". It matches the Rfam family "Bacterial small subunit ribosomal RNA", at positions 524 to 776 of the family's 1533-position model. The record is from RNAcentral.
GACGAACCGUGCGACCGUUAUUCGGAAUCACUGGGCUUAAAGGGCGCGUAGGCGGGUUCUCAAGUCAGGGGUGAAAUCCCGCGGCUCAACCGUGGAAGUGCCUUUGAUACUGGGGACCUCGAGGGAGGUAGGGGCGUGCGGAACUUCCGGUGGAGCGGUGAAAUGCGUAGAUAUCUGGAGGAACACCGGUGGCGAAGGCGGCAUCCUGGACCGAGAUUGACGCUGAUGCGCGAAAGCCAGGGGAGCAAACGGG